Molecule: ribosomal RNA, 753 nt
Filed under: Weissella paramesenteroides
Lineage: Bacteria; Bacillati; Bacillota; Bacilli; Lactobacillales; Lactobacillaceae
Description: bacterial SSU rRNA
Rfam family: Bacterial small subunit ribosomal RNA
Source: RNAcentral
CUAAUACAUGCAAGUCGAACGCUUUGUCUUUAACUGAUCUGACGAGCUUGCUCUGAUUUGAUUUUAUCUGACAAAGAGUGGCGAACGGGUGAGUAACACGUGGGUAACCUACCUCUUAGCAGGGGAUAACAUUUGGAAACAAGUGCUAAUACCGUAUAAUACCAACAACCGCAUGGUUGUUGGUUGAAAGAUGGUUCUGCUAUCACUAAGAGAUGGACCCGCGGUGCAUUAGCUAGUUGGUAAGGUAACGGCUUACCAAGGCAAUGAUGCAUAGCCGAGUUGAGAGACUGAUCGGCCACAAUGGGACUGAGACACGGCCCAUACUCCUACGGGAGGCAGCAGUAGGGAAUCUUCCACAAUGGGCGCAAGCCUGAUGGAGCAACGCCGCGUGUGUGAUGAAGGGUUUCGGCUCGUAAAACACUGUUAUAAGAGAAGAACGGCACUGAGAGUAACUGUUCAGUGUGUGACGGUAUCUUACCAGAAAGGAACGGCUAAAUACGUGCCAGCAGCCGCGGUAAUACGUAUGUUCCAAGCGUUAUCCGGAUUUAUUGGGCGUAAAGCGAGCGCAGACGGUUAUUUAAGUCUGAAGUGAAAGCCCUCAGCUCAACUGAGGAAUGGCUUUGGAAACUGGAUGACUUGAGUGCAGUAGAGGAAAGUGGAACUCCAUGUGUAGCGGUGAAAUGCGUAGAUAUAUGGAAGAACACCAGUGGCGAAGGCGGCUUUCUGGACUGUAACUGACGUUGAGGCUCGAAA